GAUGAACGCUGGCGGCGUGCCUAAUACAUGCAAGUCGAGCGAACGGACGAGAAGCUUGCUUCUCUGAUGUUAGCGGCGGACGGGUGAGUAACACGUGGAUAACCUACCUAUAAGACUGGGAUAAAUUCGGGAAACCGGAGCUAAUACCGGAUAAUAUUUUGAACCGCAUGGUUCAAAAGUGAAAGACGGUCUUGCUGUCACUUAUAGAUGGAUCCGCGCUGCAUUAGCUAGUUGGUAAGGUAACGGCUUACCAAGGCAACGAUGCAUAGCCGACCUGAAAGGGUGAUCGGCCACACGGGAACUGAGACACGGUCCAGACUCCUACGGGAGGCAGCAGUAGGGAAUCUUCCGCAAUGGGCGAAAGCCUGACGGAGCAACGCCGCGUGAGUGAUGAAGGUCUUCGGAUCGUAAAACUCUGUUAUUAGGGAAGAACAUAUGUGUAAGUAACUGUGCACAUCUUGACGGUACCUAAUCAGAAAGCCACGGCUAACUACGUG
RNAcentral lists this ribosomal RNA (497 nucleotides) under uncultured bacterium. Its description in RNAcentral is "partial 16S ribosomal RNA". It matches the Rfam family "Bacterial small subunit ribosomal RNA", at positions 28 to 507 of the family's 1533-position model. The record is from RNAcentral.